AUUGAACGCUGGCGCAGGCCUAACACAUGCAAGUCGAGCGGCAGCGACUUAACUGAACUUCGGGGAAUGUUAAGGGCGGCGAGCGGCGGACGGGUGAGUAAUCCUGGGAAUAUGCCUGAUGUGGGGGAUAACUAUUGGAAACGAUAGCUAAUACCGCAUAAUCUCUUCGGAGCAAAGAGGGGGACCUUCGGGCCUCUCGCGUCAGGAUUAGCCCAGGUGGGAUUAGCUUGUUGGUGAGGUAAUGGCUCACCAAGGCAACGAUCCCUAGCUGGUCUGAGAGGAUGAUCAGCCACACUGGAACUGAGACACGGUCCAGACUCCUACGGGAGGCAGCAGUGGGGAAUAUUGCACAAUGGGGGAAACCCUGAUGCAGCCAUGCCGCGUGUGUGAAGAAGGCCUUCGGGUUGUAAAGCACUUUCAGUAGGGAGGAAGGUAGUGUAGUUAACACCUGCAUUAUUUGACGUUACCUACAGAAGAAGCACCGGCUAACUCCGUGCCAGCAGCCGCGGUAAUACGGAGGGUGCGAGCGUUAAUCGGAAUUACUGGGCGUAAAGCGCAUGCAGGCGGCCUGUUAAGUCAGAUGUGAAAGCCCGGGGCUUAACCUCGGAAUUGCAUUUGAAACUGGCAGGCUAGAGUCUUGUAGAGGGGGGUAGAAUUUCAGGUGUAGCGGUGAAAUGCGUAGAGAUCUGAAGGAAUACCAGUGGCGAAGGCGGCCCCCUGGACAAAGACUGACGCUCAGAUGCGAAAGCGUGGGGAGCAAACAGG
Molecule: ribosomal RNA, 765 nt
Filed under: uncultured bacterium
Lineage: Bacteria
Description: bacterial SSU rRNA
Rfam family: Bacterial small subunit ribosomal RNA
Source: RNAcentral